UACGGAGGGUGCGAGCGUUGUCCGGAAUCAUUGGGCGUAAAGGGCGCGUAGGUGGCCCGGUCAGUUCGUGGUGAAAGCGCGGGGCUCAACUCCGCGUCGGCCAUGAAUACUGCUGGGCUUGAGCACUGUAGAGGCAGGCGGAAUUCCGGGUGUAGCGGUGGAAUGCGUAGAGAUCCGGAAGAACACCGGUGGCGAAGGCGGCCUGCUGGGCAGUGACGUAAGGUCUUAAAAGCUGACGCUGAGGUCGCGACAGCGUGGGGAGCAAACAGG
Molecule: ribosomal RNA, 270 nt
Filed under: uncultured bacterium
Lineage: Bacteria
Description: partial 16S ribosomal RNA
Rfam family: Bacterial small subunit ribosomal RNA
Source: RNAcentral